CAACCAUCAAGCCCCGGCGCUUGUGUUGGGGACCCGCGGCUGCCGCGGGCCCUUAAAGACAGUGGCGGUCCUCGCUGCAGCACCGAGCGUAGUAGCUAUACACCUCGCCCUGGGAGCUGCGCGUGUCGACCACGCCGUAAAACCCCCCACCUCUCACAA
Molecule: unclassified non-coding RNA, 159 nt
Filed under: Cercophora samala
Lineage: Eukaryota; Fungi; Ascomycota; Sordariomycetes; Sordariales; Lasiosphaeriaceae
Description: sequence contains ITS2
Source: RNAcentral